CCUACGGGUGGCAGCAGUGAGGAAUAUUGGUCAAUGGACGAGAGUCUGAACCAGCCAAGUAGCGUGCAGGAUGACUGCCCUAUGGGUUGUAAACUUCUUUUAUAUGGGAAUAACAUGUUCCACGUGUGGGGUUUUGUAUGUACCAUAUGAAUAAGGAUCGGCUAACUCCGUGCCAGCAGCCGCGGUAAUACGGCGGAUCCGAGCGUUAUCCGGAUUUAUUGGGUUUAAAGGGAGCGUAGGGGGAUUGUUAAGUCAGUUGUGAAAUGUUGCGGCUCAACCGGAGAAUUGCAGUUGAAACUGGCAGUCUUGAGUACAGGAGAGGUGGGCGGAAUUCGUGGUGUAGCGGUGAAAUGCUUAGAUAUCACGAAGAACCCCGAUUGCGAAGGCAGCUCACUGGACGGCAACUGACACUGAGGCUCGAAAGCGUGGGUAUCAAACAGGAUUAGAUACCCGAGUAGUC
RNAcentral lists this ribosomal RNA (460 nucleotides) under uncultured bacterium. RNAcentral's name for it is "partial 16S ribosomal RNA". It matches the Rfam family "Bacterial small subunit ribosomal RNA", at positions 338 to 795 of the family's 1533-position model. The record is from RNAcentral.